CUGCUGCCUUCCGUAGGAGUUUGGACCGUGUCUCAGUUCCAAUGUGGGGGACCUUCCUCUCAGAACCCCUACGCAUCGUCGGCUUGGUGGGCCGUUGCCCCACCAACUACCUAAUGCGCCGCAUGCCCAUCCGUGACCGGGGUCGCCCCUUUGGCCGGCAGGGGAUGUCCCCUCCCGGCAUUAUGUUGUAUUAGGCGGGAUUUCUCCCGGUUAUCCAUCUGUCACGGCCAGGUUGCAUACGUGUUACUCACCCGUGCGCCGGUCGCCGGNGG
This 272-nucleotide ribosomal RNA is filed under the name uncultured bacterium. RNAcentral's name for it is "partial 16S ribosomal RNA". The record is from RNAcentral.